UUUCUUCUCUCUUCCACCUGGUAGACUUCUACUCUUCCUUCAAGGGUCAGCCGGAGUGGCAUCCUUUUGAAGUUUCUUCUGUCUCCCUGACCAGCUGUGAGCCCUCUAGGGCUAAGACAGUGGCUUCCUAACCUGGUCUGGGCACUUUAACACUAGCACAGGACUUGGCACAAGGUUCUGUGGAUGAGGCAUGGUGCUUGGCACAGACUGACACACGUUGGGGCAAACUUGGCAGAGCAGCCUAACCCAAAGCAAAAAACAGAAAUGAACCAAGAUACAACCUCUGUGGAAAACCCUACUGAACAAAAGCAACCCUGUGGAGUGUCCUCUCAGCUGCAAAUUGAGACAGAAUUGUGGGGCAAGCUUGGCCACUGAUGCAGGUGAUGGGCCCGGGGCUGGGAUGAACAAUGGGGACA
This 416-nucleotide long non-coding RNA is filed under the name Pan troglodytes (chimpanzee). RNAcentral's name for it is "lincRNA". Lineage: Eukaryota; Metazoa; Chordata; Mammalia; Primates; Hominidae. The record is from RNAcentral.